This 433-nucleotide ribosomal RNA is filed under the name uncultured bacterium. Its description in RNAcentral is "partial 16S ribosomal RNA". It matches the Rfam family "Bacterial small subunit ribosomal RNA", at positions 29 to 507 of the family's 1533-position model. The record is from RNAcentral.
AACGAACGCUGGCGGCAUGCCUAACACAUGCAAGUCGAACGAGACCUUCGGGUCUAGUGGCGCACGGGUGCGUAACGCGUGGGAACCUGCCCUUAGGUUCGGAAUAACUCCCCGAAAGGGGUGCUAAUACCGGAUAAUGUCUUCGGACCAAAGAUUUAUCGCCUUUGGAUGGGCCCGCGUUGGAUUAGCUAGUUGGUAGGGUAAAAGCCUACCAAGGCGACGAUCCAUAGCUGGUCUGAGAGGAUGAUCAGCCACACUGGGACUGAGACACGGCCCAGACUCCUACGGGAGGCAGCAGUGGGGAAUAUUGGACGAUGGGCGAAGGCCUGAUCCAGCAAUGCCGCGUGAGUGAUGAAGGCCUUAGGGUUGUAAAGCUCUUUUACCCGGGACGAUAAUGACAGUACCGGGAGAAUAAGCUCCGGCUAACUCCGUG